AACGAGGAAUGCUGCCUGAGUUCUUUGCUAAGAGAUCCCGUUAUGGAACACCUCUUAUUGGGAUUUUGUUUUCAGCUUCUGGUGUUAUUUUGUUAUCAUGGCUCAGCUUCCAAGAGAUUGUAGCAGCAGAGAAUUUCUUGUACUGUUUUGGAAUGAUAUUGGAGUUUAUAGCGUUUGUACAGCUAAGGAUAGAAUACCCAGAUGC
This 205-nucleotide unclassified non-coding RNA is filed under the name Hevea brasiliensis (rubber tree). The record is from RNAcentral. Lineage: Eukaryota; Viridiplantae; Streptophyta; Magnoliopsida; Malpighiales; Euphorbiaceae.